GCCCAGACUCCUACGGGAGGCAGCAGUGGGGGAUAUUGCACAAUGGGGGGAACCCUGAUGCAGCGACGCCGCGUGGGUGAAGAAGCGCCUCGGCGCGUAAAGCCCUAUCGGCAGGGAAGAAGGAGGACGGUACCUGACUAAGAAGCCCCGACUAACUACGUGCCAGCAGCCGCGGUAAUACGUAGGGGGCAAGCGUUAUCCGGGUUUACUGGGUGUAAAGGGGGCGCAGACGGCAGCGCAAGCCAGGAGUGAAAGCCCGGGGCCCAACCCCGGGACUGCUCUUGGAACUGCGCGGCUGGAGUGCAGGAGGGGCAGGCGGAAUUCCUGGUGUAGCGGUGAAAUGCGUAGAUAUCAGGAGGAACACCGGUGGCGAAGGCGGCCUGCUGGACUGCGAAUGACGUUGAGGCCCGAAAGCGUGGGGAGCAAACAGGAUUAGAUACCCUCGUAC
Molecule: ribosomal RNA, 448 nt
Filed under: uncultured bacterium
Lineage: Bacteria
Description: partial 16S ribosomal RNA
Rfam family: Bacterial small subunit ribosomal RNA
Source: RNAcentral